GCUGUUAUAGCUCAGUUUGGUAGAGCGCAUCCUUGGUAAGGAUGAGGUCCCGAGUUCAAAUCUCGGUAACAGCU
Molecule: transfer RNA, 74 nt
Filed under: Bacteroidales bacterium
Lineage: Bacteria; Pseudomonadati; Bacteroidota; Bacteroidia; Bacteroidales
Also listed under: 1 other name
Description: tRNA-Thr
Rfam family: tRNA
About the family: Transfer RNA (tRNA) molecules are approximately 80 nucleotides in length. Their secondary structure includes four short double-helical elements and three loops (D, anti-codon, and T loops).
Source: RNAcentral